UACGAAGGGUGCAAGCGUUACUCGGAAUUACUGGGCGUAAAGCGUGCGUAGGUGGUUGUUAAGUCUGUUGUGAAAGCCCCGGCUCAACCUGGGAAUGGCAAUGGAUACUGGCAGGCUAGAGUGCGGUAGAGGGUAGUGGAAUUCCCGGUGUAGCGGUGAAAUGCGUAGAGAUCGGGAGGAACACCAGUGGCGAAGGCGGCUACCUGGACCAGCACUGACACUGAGGCACGAAAGCGUGGGGAGCAAACAGG
Molecule: ribosomal RNA, 251 nt
Filed under: uncultured bacterium
Lineage: Bacteria
Description: partial 16S ribosomal RNA
Rfam family: Bacterial small subunit ribosomal RNA
Source: RNAcentral